Long non-coding RNA from Oncorhynchus tshawytscha (Chinook salmon), 410 nucleotides. Lineage: Eukaryota; Metazoa; Chordata; Actinopteri; Salmoniformes; Salmonidae. The record is from Ensembl.
CUCAACCCGAGCCAGGUCUCCUAGAGAUAAACAUAUGGCUUCUGCAUGGUUAUGUAACCAGGGUAGAGUCUCUUCCCAUAGCAGACUACAGAGAGGUUAGAGUCUCUUCCUAUAACAGACUACAGAGAGGGUAGAGUCUCUUCCCACAGCAGACUACAGAGAGGGUAGAGUCUCUUCCCACAGCAGACUACAGAGAGGUUAGAGUCUCUUCCUAUAACAGACUACAGAGAGGGUAGAGUCUCUUCCCAUAACAGACAACAGAGAGGGUAGCGUCUCUUCCCACAGCAGACUACAGAGAGGGUAGAGUCUCUUCCUAUAACAGACUACAGAGAGGUUAGAGUCUCUUCCCAUAACAGACUACAGAGAGGUUAGAGUCUCUUCCUAUAACAGACUACAGAGAGGGUAGAGUC